GCAGUCAUGUCCGAGUGGUUAAGGAGUUUGAUUAGAAAUCAAAUGGGCUCUGCCCGCGCAGGUUCGAAUCCUGCUGACUGCG
This is a non-coding RNA of Gongylonema pulchrum, 82 nucleotides long. NCBI's taxonomy places the organism in Eukaryota, Metazoa, Nematoda, Chromadorea, Rhabditida, Gongylonematidae. The record is from Rfam.